Molecule: ribosomal RNA, 443 nt
Filed under: uncultured bacterium
Lineage: Bacteria
Description: partial 16S ribosomal RNA
Rfam family: Bacterial small subunit ribosomal RNA
Source: RNAcentral
CCUACGGGUGGCAGCAGUGGGGAAUAUUGGGCAAUGGGCGCAAGCCUGACCCAGCAACGCCGCGUGAAGGAAGAAGGCUUUCGGGUUGUAAACUUCUUUUCGGAGGGACGAAGAAAGUGACGGUACCACAGGAAUAAGCCACGGCUUACUACGUGCCAGCAGCCGCGGUAAUACGGCAGGGCCGGGCGUUAUCCGGAUUUAUGGGGUUUAAAGGGAGCGUAGGCGGCAUGGCCAGCGUGCUGGGAAAUGUCCGGGCUCAACCCGGGCCUUGCAGCGCAAACUGGCGUGCUUGAGUCCGCGGGAAGCAGGCGGAAUUCGUCGUGUAGCGGUGAAAUGCUUAGAUAUGACGCAGAACCCCGAUUGCGAAGGCAGCUUGCUGCAGCGGAACUGACGCUGAUGCUCGAAAGCGCGGGUAUCGAACAGGAUUAGAUACCCGAGUAGUC